This 74-nucleotide transfer RNA is filed under the name Asterophora parasitica. It matches the Rfam family "tRNA". From Rfam's summary of the family: Transfer RNA (tRNA) molecules are approximately 80 nucleotides in length. Their secondary structure includes four short double-helical elements and three loops (D, anti-codon, and T loops). Lineage: Eukaryota; Fungi; Basidiomycota; Agaricomycetes; Agaricales; Lyophyllaceae. The record is from Rfam by way of RNAcentral.
GGUUCGAUGGCGUAGUUGGUUAUCGCAUCUGUCUAACACACAGAAGGUCCUCAGGUCAAGCAUGGGUCGAAUCA